GAACGAUGAUGCCCACUUGUGGGUGGACCAGUGGCGAACGGGUGAGUAACACGUGAGUAACCUGCCCUUGACUCUGGGAUAAGCCUGGGAAACUGGGUCUAAUACCGGAUAUGACUGACUAUCGCAUGGUGGUUGGUGGAAAGCUUUUGCGGUUUUGGAUGGACUCGCGGCCUAUCAGCUUGUUGGUGGGGUAAUGGCCUACCAAGGCGACGACGGGUAGCCGGCCUGAGAGGGUGACCGGCCACACUGGGACUGAGACACGGCCCAGACUCCUACGGGAGGCAGCAGUGGGGAAUAUUGCACAAUGGGCGGAAGCCUGAUGCAGCGACGCCGCGUGAGGGAUGACGGCCUUCGGGUUGUAAACCUCUUUCAGUAGGGAAGAAGCGUAAGUGACGGUACCUGCAGAAGAAGCGCCGGCUAACUACGUGCCAGCAGCCGCGGUAAUACGUAGGGCGCAAGCGUUAUCCGGAAUUAUUGGGCGUAAAGAGCUCGUAGGCGGUUUGUCGCGUCUGCCGUGAAAGUCCGGGGCUCAACUCCGGAUCUGCGGUGGGUACGGGCAGACUAGAGUGAUGUAGGGGAGACUGGAAUUCCUGGUGUAGCGGUGAAAUGCGCAGAUAUCAGGAGGAACACCGAUGGCGAAGGCAGGUCUCUGGGCAUUAACUGACGCUGAGGACGAAAGCAUGGGGAGCGAACAGGAUUAGAUACCCUGGUAGUCCAUGCCGUAAACGUUGGGCACUAGGUGUGGGGGACAUUCCACGUUUUCCGCGCCGUAGCUAACGCAUUAAGUGCCCCGCCUGGGGAGUACGGCCGCAAGGCUAAAACUCAAAGGAAUUGACGGGGGCCCGCACAAGCGGCGGAGCAUGCGGAUUAAUUCGAUGCAACGCGAAGAACCUUACCAAGGCUUGACAUGAACCGGAAACGCCUGGAAACAGGUGCCCCACUUGUGGUCGGUUUACAGGUGGUGCAUGGUUGUCGUCAGCUCGUGUCGUGAGAUGUUGGGUUAAGUCCCGCAACGAGCGCAACCCUCGUUCUAUGUUGCCAGCACGUGAUGGUGGGGACUCAUAGGAGACUGCCGGGGUCAACUCGGAGGAAGGUGGGGACGACGUCAAAUCAUCAUGCCCCUUAUGUCUUGGGCUUCACGCAUGCUACAAUGGCCGGUACAAAGGGUUGCGAUACUGUGAGGUGGAGCUAAUCCCAAAAAGCCGGUCUCAGUUCGGAUUGGGGUCUGCAACUCGACCCAUGAAGUCGGAGUCGCUAGUAAUCGCAGA
Molecule: ribosomal RNA, 1268 nt
Filed under: Arthrobacter sp. GIC33
Lineage: Bacteria; Bacillati; Actinomycetota; Actinomycetes; Micrococcales; Micrococcaceae
Description: bacterial SSU rRNA
Rfam family: Bacterial small subunit ribosomal RNA
Source: RNAcentral